AGCUCCAAUAGCGUAUAUUAAAGUUGUUGCGGUUAAAAAGCUCGUAGUUGGAUCUGCGUCCAUCAAGACUGGUAGCCCAUUGGGUUUCACUUGUUCUUGUGGACUUAUUACUGGUUUUUCCUUGGUGCUCUUAACUGAGUGCCUUGGUUGACUAGUGCUUUUACUUUGAAAAAAUUAGAGUGCUCAAAGCAGGCGUUUGCCUGAAUAGUGGUGCAUGGAAUAAUGGAAUAGGACCUCGGUUCUAUUUUGUUGGUUUUCGGAGCUCGAGGUAAUGAUUAAGAGGGACAGACGGGGGCAUUCGUACUGCUGCGUUAGAGGUGAAAUUCUUGGAUCGCAGCAUGACGAACAACUGCGAAAGCAUUUGCCAAGAAUGUUUUCA
Molecule: ribosomal RNA, 379 nt
Filed under: marine Metazoa environmental sample
Lineage: Eukaryota; Metazoa
Description: SSU rRNA
Rfam family: Eukaryotic small subunit ribosomal RNA
Source: RNAcentral